This 2873-nucleotide long non-coding RNA is filed under the name Solanum tuberosum (potato). RNAcentral's name for it is "long non-coding RNA (STUB_LNC008027)". Lineage: Eukaryota; Viridiplantae; Streptophyta; Magnoliopsida; Solanales; Solanaceae. The record is from RNAcentral.
GUAUCUCAAGCAGCAUGAGAUGAAGGAUCUGCGUGAAAAUGAUGAUGCCAUAGCCCAAUGGUGUAGAGAUAUCUAUGUGGCCAAGGUUUGUCCUUGUUACGUAUCCUUGCCAAAAUUCUAUCAAUAAGAAAAUUAUCCUUGCCAAAAUAUUUUUUGUGGAAUGAUCCUUUCUUGUGCUUAUUUGUGAUGUCUAAAAAGCACUUUUGGUGUUGUCUUGUGACCUGCUUUCCACCAGUAAGUUAUUGGACAAACAUAUUGCCGAAGACACUUUUGGAGAAGAAAAGUUGCAAGACAAUGCCACCCAAUCAAAUCCCUUGUGGUAAGAUACUUUCUGAUUAUGCCGGGGAUAUUUCAAUUCCUUCCUUAUAUCAAACUAUCUGUUGUCUCUCCUAAAUAACAGGUAGUCGCAUCUUGGGCAUGCAUUCUUAUCUUAGAACCAUAAAAAUCUUACAAGCAACUGCCUUGUUGUCAUCAUGGAAGGGUGUUGCAAUAUCAGCUGCUCUCAUAGCUGUUACAGUUCUCAUGCAAAUUUUGAUUAAUUUCUCGAAGUCAGAACGCUCUACAGCUGCCCAAGGUUGCAUCAGGAAAGAUAAAGAAUAUGAAUCAGGCUUAGAGGAAAUGGGCAGGAGGACAAAACACACUAAUUAUGAUUUUCAUCUGAUAUGGUAAAUGAACCCUAAGGUUAUAGCCUUGAUCAUGAGAAUUGCAAAGAUGUUUGUAAUAUGUAGUAAGCUGCGUGUCUAUUUUAGACCCGUAAUUAUUUGGCCAAAGUGAACUAACUUGUGUUCAUUUUUGUUUCUAAAGAUGCAGAUUCCAUGUUUGGUCUAAUUCAUUAAUUGUUACAGUUGUGUCUAUGAUGUUGGUAAACUGCAUCUGUGUUGAUGUCCUGGGGAAACUGAAAUGACUUUUAGUAAGAGCAGUAAACAAAUCAUAAGUAGAUGUUUUAAAGAUUGGCAUGAGUCAACAUUUGAUUCCUUGAGCGGUGAAUGGGCUAAGGAGACAAUUGAGUCUUGAAUGAGAGUCGGUUGGUGUGUUAAAAUUGUCCACACAUCGCGUCGUUACACCAGAUAGUAUCAACUUCCCAAGGAUAAUUUCCAUUGUUAGCUUAAUAAUUUAGGUUCUUCUUUGCAAGGAUUUGUUGUUUGAUCUGUUCUAGAGAUCUAGAUCCCUUUCUAAUCUAGCUCAGCUUUCAAUUGCUACCUUUAUCUUUCUUCAAUCUAUUACACUGUUACCUUCUAUCACUGAGAGAGUUGCAAGCAAACAGCGUAUCAAAAUUUAUUAAGUUAAUUACAUUGAACACCACUAUAAUGUUUUUUUUUGUUACUGGAUACACCCCAUACAUUUCAUAAUCAAAUAUGCCUCUUAUCAAGGUGAGGAUUCAUGGUGUAUAUUAUUUGUGGAUGAUAUAGUUUUGAUUGAUGAAACUUGGCGGUUGGAGGUCGGAAAAGCAUACGCUCGACUCUAAAGGGUUUAGAUUGAGCAAGUCCAAGAUUAAAUACAUGAAGUGCGAGUUCAACAUCGUAACACAUGUGACUAGUGUAGAAGUGAGGGUUGAUACACAUAUUGCGUAAAAGAGAGUAAGUCUCAAAUAUCUUGGAUCUAUUAUCCAAGAAAAAUAAGAAGAUUGACUAGGAUGUCACUCACUUUAUUGGUACAUGGUGGAUAGGGAUGGCAAUGGGGCGGGGAGGAUGCGGGGUGGGGCGGGUUUAAGGCUAUACGGGGUGGCGGGUUUAAGGUUGUGCAGGGUGGGUUUAAGUGGGGUUUUUUAAAACGGGGCAGGGCGGGUUGUGGGUAUAUGUGAUUUUAUGUGGGUUUAAAUUUAAUUUUAAUUUUUUACAUGUUAUAAGAGUGAUAGAGCAUUGUUUAUUAAGAUAAUUUCUUUAAAGCUACUAAAAUAUUCAAGAUAGUAAAUGAAAAUGGUUCAAAAAUAAUAAUUCAAUUUCUUAUAUGUUUUCCAAUUGACCUCUAAAAAAUAAAAUUUUAAGUCACUACCCUAUUAAAUUAAUACAACUUAAUGAAAAAAUGAAUUUAUGUUUAUGAAUUUUGUUUUUAGUAUCAAACUUAACUAAAAAAGAAAAUAUUAAAAAAAUUAUUAUGGGCGGGUUCAUGCGGAGCGGCUCUAUGCGAGGCAGGUUGAAAAUGAAAAAAAAUGUUAUGCGGGGUGGGUCGAAUUAACAUUUUUACGGGUUAAGCUCAACCCGCCUCGCCCACACCCCGCACUGCCCCAUUGCCAUCCCUAAUGGUGGAUGAAAUGGAGUGCGCACAUUCAGUCUUAUGUGAUAAAGAAGAUGCUACCAAAACUUAAAGAUAAGUUCUACAAAGUCAAAGCGGCUUUAUUACCAGUAGGUAGAUUACUAAAAAUGUUAUCUUGCUCAAGCAAUUGUUCAUGGAAUGUCUAAACCUAAUGUUGGUUGUAAUAUUGUUAUCAAAUUAGAUGUGGCUAAAACUUGUGAUAGAAUGUUAAAAUUUUCUUAUAGCAGUCGUUAAAAGAUCUGUUUAUCAGAAAAAUGGAUCAUUCUUAUAUGAAAUCUUAUUUCGAAUGUUUGGUACUUUAUUUUGAUUAAUGACUCUAGAUAUGACUAAUUCUUCUCGUCCUAAGGUCUCAAACAUGGUAAUCCUCUAUCCCCCUCUAUUUUUAUUUUGGGUGCAGAGGUUUUUUCUAGAUCUCUAAAUAGAAUCAAUCACCUUGCUUGCUAUGCUUUGCAGAUUAUGCCGGAUACAUGGUGUAACAUCUCGUUGAAUUAUAUCCUAAAUAUUUGAACCGUUCAUCAUAAGUGUAUUAGAUUGGACCAGGUGAGAUCCUACUUGUUUAUGUGUUAAGGUUCAUUUCCAAGUGUAGGAAGUGUAUCGAAUGUGGUUUAGGGUCAUAAGAG